Molecule: ribosomal RNA, 490 nt
Filed under: uncultured bacterium
Lineage: Bacteria
Description: partial 16S ribosomal RNA
Rfam family: Bacterial small subunit ribosomal RNA
Source: RNAcentral
AGUGAACGCUGGCGGCAGGCCUAACACAUGCAAGUCGAACGGCAGCACAAGAGAGCUUGCUCUCUGGGUGGCGAGUGGCGGACGGGUGAGGAAUGCAUCGGAAUCUGCUCAUUUGUGGGGGAUAACCUCGGGAAACCGGGACUAAUACCGCAUACGACCUACGGGUGAAAGCAGGGGAUCUUCGGACCUUGCGCAGAUGGAUGAGCCGAUGCCGGAUUAGCUAGUUGGAGGGGUAAAGGCCCACCAAGGCGACGAUCCGUAGCUGGUCUGAGAGGAUGAUCGGCCACACUGGGACUGAGACACGGCCCAGACUCCUACGGGAGGCAGCAGUGGGGAAUAUUGGACAAUGGGCGCAAGCCUGAUCCAGCCAUGCCGCGUGUGUGAAGAAGGCCUUCGGGUUGUAAAGCACUUUUGUUGGGAAAGAAAAGCAGCCGGUUAAUACCCGGUUGUCAUGACGGUACCCAAAGAAUAAGCACCGGCUAACUUCGUG